RNAcentral lists this long non-coding RNA (562 nucleotides) under Pan troglodytes (chimpanzee). RNAcentral's name for it is "lincRNA". Lineage: Eukaryota; Metazoa; Chordata; Mammalia; Primates; Hominidae. The record is from RNAcentral.
GGAGAUGCAGGGAACCACCACGUUGUACGGCAACCAACGUGCCGCCCCUCUGUGGGCGGGGAUUCACACUAGCUGUCUGUGUCAAGGCCACGGAGAAAUCUAUUGGAAAUCGCUGUGGAAACAAACGCAAAUGAAAAGCCGCAAAGAGCAAAGACGAAGGAAACUAAGAGAAUUACCAGUUGACCUAUGUUUAAAGAAUGACUGAGGAUAUUCUUCAAAGGAAAUGAUAACAGCAGGCAUAGAACUUUAGAAAGAAAGAAAGAACAAUGGAAUGAGAAAAAAUAGGGCUGUACUGCCUCUUUUGAUCAAUUUGCCCCAUUCAUGGUUAUGCAUGCUGAUGGAGACUGCUUUUGAAGCUUCUUUAUUGAAGGAGCGGGAGAAGAGUAAGAAAGUUGGAGCAGACUAAGAAGACAGGAAAGAAAGAAAAGCAAAAGUAAGAUAGAGGCUCUGAACUAGUUACUGGACCUCUACCCGUCAACAAGGCAGACCCUGCCUUCUUGGAACUUGUGCUCUGGCAGAACGGACAAGCAUGAAACAAGUAAUUGCAACAUGAUUUACUGUG